UAUCUACCAAUAUAUAGUUAUUUUAUGAACCUUGCAAAUUUUUCAAAAAAAUUUGUGUAGCACUAGGCCAUUAUAGGCCUAUUUCCAUUACUCACGGCUGUAGCUGUGACCACGAUUUAAAUCCUUGGCAAGGACCUCUUUCUUCUUUUCUCUUUUUGCUUAUCCUUGUAACAGAAGCUCUUAGGUUAAUGGGGUUUAGGAGGGAGGGCUCAACUGACUUGCGGAAUUCAGCAGGUUUCUCACCUACUUUUUUUAAGUCUAACAAUUCUAUCAUCCUCUGCAUACUGAUGUUGAGAAUUCCAGUUUUUAACAAUGUGUCAAUUUCAAGAUAUGAGGGGAUCUAUAUAACAAUAUUAUCCUCUUUUAAGGUUGAGGAAGGAUUUUCGGUUUGUUUUGGAAUGAUUAUUGAUGCAGAAAUCACCUCUUCAACCAAUUCCAGAUGCUACUAAUGAAGCCAUCAGAAUGGGAUCUUUGGUCAGCAAUUGCUUUUUAUUAUGAUAACCUGGUGAUGUGGACCUAGUUUACAGUAGGAACCCAAGACAACAAGAUGAAGAUGGUCGUGGAUUACCAAAGUGCCUUAAGAAAAAAAAGAGUGACCCAGUGCACGACGGAAAGGAGGAUAAAAUAAGAUUUUAGUGUUGACAAAGAAGGACUAUGGUGUAAAAUCUUUUUACAACAAUCUAUUAGAGAGGUGAAGUGCAAGAAAGGAUUUCUAUUCCAUGUAGUCCUAUUUAGAGAAUGAAAGUGCCUUCAAAAUAUCCCUAUUCACUUGGGAAAACCAUAUGGGAAAAAUUUUUCUCAAUUGACAAAUUGAUGAAGGAACACAUUUAGUAAACAUACGCAUGUAUCAUAAAAAGCAAGGGGAGUCAGAAAAACUCUUGCUUCUUCAUUGACAUUGAUUGGGCAACUUUACUCCUUGGGACGUUGGCAGUAUCCCCCAUUUGAUGUUCUUAUCAACAUAGCUCUUAGUUUCAUAAACAGUCCCACAAUGUUAAAAAAAAAAAAAGCAUAUAAAAAAAAAUCUGAAGAACAAAUAAAAUUUACCGAAUGAGUGAUAUUCUCAAGAGAGUCCACAAUGCAGUGAGCAUAAUCAUAACUUGGAUAUACACACCACUUGUCUCCUGAAUGUGGAUGAGGAGUGAACUUGAUUCUAUAAGCAAUGAGGUCGUACAUAUUAAAAUUAUCGCUCUGCAUGUCUUGCUUCAUUCUAAGUGUUGCCUUGCCUUCUUCAAUCAUGCCUCGUCUCAUUUCAUCAAAAAGUUUCAAAGACUCUGCAAUAGGUCUAUCCCUCCAAGGACUGUUCAUCUUCUUUUCUCUAUACUCCUUAAUCUCCUCAGGUGUCUGAUGAUCAACAUAUGCAUGACCCCUCCGUAUCAGCUCAACAGCUAAGUCAUACAGGUCUUGGAAAUAAUCACUGGUAUAAGUGAUCUUGAAGGGUUUCCACCCCAUCCACUGGACAAUCUCUUCAAUGUGAUCAAUAUACUCCUUCUUUUCAGCCUCAGGGUUUGUAUCAUCAUACCU
RNAcentral lists this unclassified non-coding RNA (1521 nucleotides) under Hevea brasiliensis (rubber tree). Lineage: Eukaryota; Viridiplantae; Streptophyta; Magnoliopsida; Malpighiales; Euphorbiaceae. The record is from RNAcentral.